Molecule: ribosomal RNA, 254 nt
Filed under: uncultured bacterium
Lineage: Bacteria
Description: partial 16S ribosomal RNA
Rfam family: Bacterial small subunit ribosomal RNA
Source: RNAcentral
UACGGGGGGAGCAAGCGUUGUUCGGAUUUACUGGGCGUAAAGGGCGCGUAGGCGGUCGUGACAAGUCACUUGUGAAAUCUCCGGGCUUAACUCGGAACGGGCAAGUGAUACUGUCGGACUAGAGUACAGAAGGGGCAACUGGAAUUCUCGGUGUAGCGGUGAAAUGCGUAGAUAUCGAGAGGAACACCUGCGGCGAAGGCGGGUUGCUGGGCUGAUACUGACGCUGAGGCGCGAAAGCUAGGGGAGCGAACGGG